RNAcentral lists this RNase P RNA (356 nucleotides) under Bacteroidota bacterium. RNAcentral's name for it is "Bacteroidetes bacterium (freshwater metagenome) RNase P RNA component class A". It matches the Rfam family "Bacterial RNase P class A". Rfam says of the family: Ribonuclease P (RNase P) is a ubiquitous endoribonuclease, found in archaea, bacteria and eukarya as well as chloroplasts and mitochondria. Its best characterised activity is the generation of mature 5'-ends of tRNAs by cleaving the 5'-leader elements of precursor-tRNAs. Lineage: Bacteria; Pseudomonadati; Bacteroidota. The record is from RNAcentral.
GCUACAAGCCAGGUCAUCGAUCCCGCGCUUCCAGCGGGGUAGGAAAGUCCGGACAGCACAGAGCCAUGCACCGGUGAACAGCCGGGUUUCGAGAAAUCGAAAACAGCGAGUGCCACAGAAAAUAACUACCGACCGGUCAACCGGUUGGCAAAGGUGAAAACGUGGGGUAAGGGCCUACGGGGAACAUGGGUAACCAUGUUCUUGGGUAAACCUUGCAUGCUGAAAUGCCAUGUAAAGUACCGUUUGAGGGCGGCUCGUCCGAGGUACAGGGUAGGCAGCUUGAGCUUGGUGGGUAACUGCCAAGACAGAUCAAUGAUGACCCUCGACCGAAUCCGGCUUAUCGGCUUGUAGCAUUU